GGAAGAGGCAGCGGCGGGGCCCGGCGGCGGCGCGGCUGGAAUGCGGUUAUGGCAGGCAGGGCUGGGGCGAGCGCGGAGCCGAGCCGGUUGACCAGACCGGCAGUGCCCAUGAUGCCCUGAAUGCUGAGCACAGCAGAAGCAGAGAAGACUGUGUCCCGUUAGCUCCUCGUCCUUCCUCCUUACCCCUUUAGUUUGGAUUUGUUUCUAUUUAUUUUGUGGCUGGGUUUGGGCAUGGCCUUGGCCGGAUGUGACACUGCCGCGAUGCGGCUCCUUUGGCUCAAGCACCACUUGUCUGUCAACAUUUGGACCCUGCUGCUCUUGGGAAGCACCUGGCUACCGCUGGCGGAAGGCAGCCCCAAAUCUCCCUUUAGGACUUUCUCGGUUACAGACUGGAGCUUGACGCACCUGGUGGUCCAUAACAAAACCGGGGAGGUCUACGUGGGGGCCGUCAAUCGGAUCUACAAGCUCUCCAAUAACCUCACGCUCUUGCGGACGCACGUGACGGGGCCAGUGGAGGACAAUGAGAAGUGUUACCCUCCGCCUAGCGUUCAGUCCUGCCCGCAUGGUCUGGUCACCACCAACAAUGUGAACAAGCUGCUGCUGGUGGACUAUUCGGGGAACCGGCUGAUCGCCUGUGGCAGUGCCUCGCAGGGUAUCUGCCAGUUCCUGCGGCUGGAUGACCUCUUCAAGUUGGGUGAGCCCCACCACCGCAAGGAGCACUACCUCUCCAGUGUCAAUGAGUCGGGGACCAUGUCUGGGGUCAUCAUUGAGGUGCUAAAUGGGCAGAACAAGCUCUUCAUUGGGACGCCCAUCGAUGGCAAGUCGGAGUACUUCCCCACGCUCUCCAGCCGCAAGCUGAUGGCCAAUGAGGAGAAUGCGGAGAUGUUUGGCUUUGUCUACCAGGACGAGUUUGUCUCGUCCCAGCUUAAGAUCCCCUCAGACACGCUCUCCAAGUUCCCCACCUUUGACAUCUACUACAUCUACAGCUUCAGCAGUGAGCAGUUUGUGUACUACCUGACCUUGCAGCUGGACACCCAGCUCACCUCACCCGAUUCCACUGGUGAGCAGUUUUUCACCUCCAAGAUCGUCCGCCUCUGCGUGGAUGACCCCAAGUUCUACUCCUACGUGGAGUUCCCCAUCGGCUGUGUGCAGGAUGGCAUUGAGUACCGCCUGAUCCAGGACGCUUACCUGACCAAGCCCGGCAAGGCUUUGGCCAAGUACCUGGGCAUCUCAGAGCAGGAAGAUAUCCUCUUCACCAUCUUCUCCCAGGGCCAGAAAAACAGAGUUAAGCCUCCCAAGGAGUCUGUGCUCUGCCUCUUCACGUUGAAGAAGAUCAAGGAUAAGAUCAAGGAACGUAUUCAGUCAUGCUACAGAGGGGAAGGGAAACUCUCGUUGCCCUGGCUCUUGAAUAAGGAGCUGGGCUGCAUCAACUCGCCGCUGCAGAUCGAUGACAACUUCUGUGGCCAGGAUUUUAACCAGCCACUUGGUGGAACCGUCACGAUUGAGGGGACCCCACUUUUUGUGGAUAAAGAGGAUGGGAUGACCUCGGUGGCUGCCUAUGACUACAGAGGACAAACUGUUGUGUUUGCGGGCACACGGAGUGGGAAGAUCAAAAAGAUCCUGGUGGACUUGCCGGCUGACAGGAAGCACCAAACGCUGCAGUAUGAGAACGUGGUGGCCCAUGAAGGCAGCUCCAUCCUGCGGGACCUGGUGCUGAGCCCUGACCGCCAGCACCUCUACGCCAUGACUGAGAAGCAGGUGACGCGGGUGCCGGUAGAGAGCUGUGAGCAAUACGAGAGCUGUGAGCUGUGCCUGGGCUCCCGGGACCCCCACUGUGGCUGGUGUGUCCUCCACAAUGUAUGCUCACGCAAGGACCGCUGCGAACGCGCAGAUGAGCCCCAGCGUUUUGCCUCCGAGCUGCGGCAGUGCGUGCAGCUCACCGUGCAGCCCAGGAACAUCUCAGUCACCAUGUCGGAGGUCCCGCUGGUCCUGCAGGCCUGGAACGUCCCCGACCUCUCGGCGGGAGUCAACUGCUCCUUUGAAGACUUCACUGAGUCCGAGAGCCGCAUAGAAGAUGGGAAGAUCUACUGCAGCUCUCCAUCUGCCAGGGACGUCAUUCCCAUCACCAGGGGCCGUGGAGAUAAGCGGGUGGUGAAACUCUACCUGAAAUCUAAGGAGACUGGGAAAAAGUUCGCCUCUGUGGAUUUUGUUUUCUAUAACUGCAGCGUCCAUCAAUCCUGCCUGUCCUGUGUGAAUGGCUCCUUCCCCUGCCACUGGUGCAAGUACCGCCACAUCUGCACCCACAACGCCGCCGACUGCUCCUUCCUGGAGGGACGGGUCAAGCUCUCUGAGGACUGCCCACAGAUCCUGCCCUCCACCCAGAUCUACAUCCCAGUGGGAGUGGUGAAGCCCAUCACCCUGACAGCCAAGAAUCUACCACAGCCACAGUCAGGCCAGCGCAACUAUGAGUGCAUCUUUCACAUCCCUGGCAGCACCACCCGUGUCACAGCUCUGCGCUUCAACAGCACCAGCAUCCAGUGUCAGAACACCUCGUACUUCUACGAAGGGAACGACAUCAGCGAUCUGCCGGUCAACUUAUCUGUGGUUUGGAACGGAAACUUUGUCAUCGACAACCCCCAGAACAUCCAGGCCCACCUGUACAAGUGCUCAGCCCUGCGGGAGAGCUGUGGGCUGUGCCUGAAGGCCGACCCACGCUUCGAAUGUGGCUGGUGCGUGUCGGAGAAGCGCUGCACUCUGCGGCAGCACUGCCUGGCCUACGAGAGCAGCUGGAUGCACGCCAGCAGUGGUAACAGCCGCUGCACCGACCCCAAGAUCACCAAGCUGUCACCUGAGACCGGCCCUAGGCAAGGAGGGACACGUCUGACCAUCACGGGGGAGAACCUGGGCCUCAAGUUUGAAGACGUGCGCUGGGGUGUUCGAGUGGGCAAAGUGAUGUGCAUCCCCAUCGAGAGCGAGUACAUCAGCGCUGAGCAGAUCGUGUGUGAAAUUGGAGAUGCCAGCCCAAGCAAGGUCCACGAUGCGCGGGUUGAAGUGUGCAUCCGGGACUGCUCCCCCAACUACCGGGCCACCUCACCCAAGAGCUUCACCUUCGUGACGCCCACUUUCUCCCGAGUGACCCCUGCCCGCGGCCCUCUCUCCGGUGGCACCUGGAUUGCCAUUGAAGGAAGCCACCUGAAUGCUGGUAGCAACGUCACUGUCACCAUCGGGGGACGGCCCUGUGCCUUUUCGGGGAGAAGUGCCCGUGAGAUCCGCUGCAGGACCCCCCCUGGCCAUGCUCCUGGUGGGUCCCCCAUCCUCAUCAACAUCAACCGGGCAGAGCUGAGCAACCCGGAGGUGAAGUACAACUACACAGAGGACCCUACUAUCCAAAAGAUUGAUCCUGAAUGGAGCAUCAACAGUGGUGGGACACUGUUGACUGUGACUGGCACCAACCUGGCCACCAUCAAAGAGCCCAAGAUCCGAGCCAAGUACUGCAGCUCUGAAAGGGAGAAUAACUGCACUGUGUACAAUGACACCACCAUGGUGUGCUAUGCACCCUCCAUUGACAACCCUGAGCGGAGCCCUCCUGAGGUCGGUGACCGGCCAGACGAGAUCGGGUUCAUCAUGGAUAACGUCCAGGCCUUGCUGAUCAUCAACACCACCAACUUUGUAUACUACCCAGACCCCGUCUUUGAGCCGCUCAGCCCCACGGGGAUGCUGGAGUUGAAGCCCAGCUCUCCCCUCAUCCUCAAGGGCAGGAACCUGCUCCCUCCAGCUGCAGGGAACUCCCGCCUGAACUACACAGUGCUGAUUGGGGACACUCCCUGCACUCUGACCGUGUCUGAGACCCAACUGCUCUGUGAGUCUCCUAACCUCACUGGCCAGCACAAAGUCACGAUUAAGGCUGGAGGGUUUGAGUUCUCCCCGGGCACGCUGCAGAUUUACUCGGACAGCCUGCUCACCCUGCCUGCCAUUAUUGGGAUUGGCGGCGGCGGCGGCUUGCUGCUGCUCAUCAUCAUCAUCGUCCUCAUCGCCUACAAGCGCAAGUCCCGUGAUGCUGACCGCACCCUGAAACGCCUCCAGCUGCAGAUGGACAACCUGGAGUCCCGGGUGGCCCUGGAGUGCAAAGAGGCCUUUGCUGAGCUGCAGACAGACAUUAACGAACUGACUAACGACCUGGAUGGGGCCGGCAUCCCUUUCCUGGAUUACCGCACUUACGCCAUGCGGGUUCUGUUCCCCGGGAUAGAAGACCACCCGGUGCUGAAGGAGAUGGAGGUCCAGGCAAACGUGGAGAAGUCCCUGACCCUCUUUGGGCAGCUCCUGAACAAGAAGCACUUCCUGCUGACCUUCAUCCGCACGCUGGAGGCUCAGCGGAGCUUUUCCAUGCGAGACCGUGGCAAUGUGGCCUCACUCAUCAUGACAGCACUGCAGGGUGAGAUGGAGUAUGCCACGGGUGUUCUGAAGCAGCUUCUCUCCGACCUCAUCGAGAAGAAUCUGGAGAGUAAGAACCAUCCCAAGCUGCUCCUGCGGAGAACAGAGUCAGUCGCAGAGAAGAUGCUGACAAAUUGGUUCACGUUUCUGCUGUACAAGUUUCUGAAGGAAUGUGCUGGGGAGCCACUCUUCAUGCUGUACUGUGCCAUCAAGCAGCAGAUGGAGAAGGGACCCAUUGAUGCCAUCACAGGAGAGGCUCGCUACUCCCUCAGUGAAGACAAGCUUAUCCGGCAGCAGAUUGACUACAAAAUGCUGACCCUCAACUGUGUGAAUCCUGAGAACGAGAAUGCGCCAGAGAUUCCUGUCAAGGUGCUGAACUGUGACACCAUCACACAGGUGAAAGAGAAGCUGCUGGAUGCUGUCUACAAAGGAGUGCCCUAUUCCCAGCGUCCCAAAGCUGGAGACAUGGACCUUGACCUUGCUCCUCUGCUCUGCUUGGCUUUGUCCUCCAAGCUGCCUGCUAACCAUGAGCCCUUCUCCCUCACUGGGACAGAGUGGCGGCAGGGCAGGAUGGCCCGGAUCAUACUGCAGGAUGAAGAUGUCACCACAAAGAUUGACAAUGACUGGAAGAGGCUAAACACCCUGGCCCACUACCAGGUGACGGAUGGCUCCUCAGUAGCCCUGGUGCCCAAGCAGAACUCAGCGUACAACAUCUCCAACUCCUCAACCUUCACCAAGUCCCUCAGCAGAUAUGAGAGCAUGCUGCGGACAGCCAGCAGCCCCGACAGCCUGCGCUCACGCACCCCCAUGAUCACCCCAGACCUGGAGAGUGGCACCAAGCUUUGGCACCUGGUAAAAAACCACGACCACAUGGACCAGCGGGAGGGAGACCGGGGCAGCAAGAUGGUCUCUGAGAUCUACCUGACCCGUUUGCUAGCCACCAAGGGCACUCUGCAGAAAUUUGUGGAUGAUCUGUUUGAGACUAUCUUCAGCACAGCACAUCGUGGGAGCGCACUGCCCCUCGCCAUCAAAUACAUGUUUGAUUUCCUGGAUGAGCAAGCUGAUAAGCACCAGAUCAAUGACUAUGAUGUCAGGCACACCUGGAAGAGUAACUGGUAAUGGAGAGGGGCAGUGAAGCAGGGGCUAGCGAUGUCACAGCUAAUGAUACCUCUUACCCUUCCCACAGGGAGCAGAAAUAUGCCUCAAGUUGUUCCUGAAAAUGUUCCAGCACAAGAGAGGCCCGUAUCUCUGUGUUUUGGGUGUGGGUAAAUCUUUCACAUGCCUUCCUGCAGUAGAAAAAAUCCCAGGAAUGCAGUGCUCACUGCUGCCACAGUACCACGUUUCCACUUAUGGCUGGAGCUGGCUGAGGACAAACACGAUUCUGUUCCCAUCUCACCUUGAGUGAGCACAGCACGGCCUUCUCUGUCCUCUGGGCUCCUCCAGAUGUGCCAGCCUGCAUUCUCAUCUUAGCUGUCCUGGAGGUGUUUGCCACACUCCCCCCAGUCACUCAGCUGAGUGUGCCCUAACAGAGUUAGUGUGAAGCCAUGUACGCAUCCUCAUCCUCCGUAACCUCGCCUGCAGAGCCAACCCAUCAGCUCUGCUAAUCGCUCUCUGAAAAGUGGGGAGGAGCUGCUUAUGAGACCUCAGUGAGCGCUGUGCUGAGGCCAGGGCUCCAGCACACGUCUGCUCCUUUUCUGCAGCUCCCCCUCUACAUUCUGCGUUUCUGCUGCCUCACUGAUUUCAUCUCUGAUCUUGCCGUUGCUGGAGACGGGUACGUACGUUCCCGUGCCUGGCAUUUGUUAAAUGGCAGCCAAAUUGCUUUUGUAUAGUUCAGUAACUGUUGGCAAUUAGCAGGGCAGGAAAAGAAACAUUUUUAAAUGGAGAUGUGAGAGUGCGGAAGUGCUUGGAACUGAUUUAUAACUCUGCUUUCUAUAUUAAAAGAAGGAGUGAAAUGCAAGGGAGGAAAAAAAGGCCCGCUCUGCAGGGGCUGGGCAUGCAGGCUUCUGCAUACUAAUGUCUGUGCUUAUCUCUGGGCGCUAAUUCAAUGUGUGGAGCUAAUUUCUUGAGGCCAUUCCCUUCACAAAUGAAAUAUGUACAUGCACCCGGUACCCUCAUUAAGAAAGUCCUGGGGAAUGAAGUGUGUUUUGUCUAAGAUAAAAGCAUUCACUGGGUGUUGGUGCUGAGGAGUGACAGACUGGAGAGGCAUUCUAAUGGAGGGAGACCCUGAAAGGCUCCUGGGAGAGGAGAGGGGCAAGAGAGUGGGAAAUGGAGCGAUGGAGAGUGGCAUGUGUGUAAGUAUGCAGCAAACAUCCAGUCCCAGUGCCUCCACCGCUGAGAAAUGCGUCUCUGGCAUCUGAGACUGCCUAAAUCGUUCUCUCAUCUUAAUUGUGCUAAUGAGCCUCUGGAGGAAUCCAGCAUCCCCCUCCUGCAGCACGAGAGACGUGUGAAAUGCCACCAAGUGUCUUAGGAUUAUUGAUACGGGAGGAGGGAAUCGUGCCUGGUGACCCAUGGGUUCAGCGAGGGCUAUUCCGUUCUACCUCUGCGUUUUUGGGUGAAUGUGAUUAAGAACCCCCAGUUUGUGUUCGACAUUCACAAGAACAGUAUUACUGAUGCCUGCCUAU
Molecule: RNA transcript, 7052 nt
Organism: Lagopus leucura (white-tailed ptarmigan)
Lineage: Eukaryota; Metazoa; Chordata; Aves; Galliformes; Phasianidae
Gene: PLXNA1
Gene name: plexin A1
Exons: 30
Source: RefSeq, a predicted model, not a curated record